UUUCCGUAGGUGAACCUGCGGAAGGAUCAUUAAUGAAUUUUACGCCCUAGUCUUAACUGAUAGGGGCUGGUUCUAUCCAUAACACCUGUGCACUGUUGGAUGCUUGCAUCCACUUUUAAACUAAACAUUAUUGUAACAAAUGUAGUCUUAUUAUAACAUAAUAAAACUUUCAACAACGGAUCUCUUGGCUCUCGCAUCGAUGAAGAACGCAGC
This 213-nucleotide unclassified non-coding RNA is filed under the name uncultured fungus. RNAcentral's name for it is "sequence contains ITS1, 5.8S rRNA gene". The stretch from base 165 to 213 matches the Rfam family "5.8S ribosomal RNA", at positions 1 to 49 of the family's 154-position model. Lineage: Eukaryota; Fungi. The record is from RNAcentral.